Molecule: ribosomal RNA, 971 nt
Filed under: uncultured bacterium
Lineage: Bacteria
Description: bacterial SSU rRNA
Rfam family: Bacterial small subunit ribosomal RNA
Source: RNAcentral
GAUAAUCUACCCGCGGGUGGGGAAUAACUCUCCGAAAGGGGAGCUAAUACCGCAUAACACUCGUUUAGGGCAUCCUGAGCGAGUCAAAGAGGGGGACUCAAGGGCCUCUCGCCUGCAGAGGAGUCCGCGGCCGAUUAGCUAGUUGGUGAGGUAAAGGCUCGCCAAGGCAGCGAUCGGUAGCCGGCCUGAGAGGGUGACCGGCCACACUGGCACUGAAACACGGGCCAGACUCCUACGGGAGGCAGCAGUGGGGAAUUUUGGGCAAUGGCCGAAAGGCUGACCCAGCAACGCCGCGUGAAGGAUGAAAUCCUUCGGGAUGUAAACUUCGCAAGUCAGGGAAGAAUAAACGUGGUUUAACAAGCCACGAUAUGACGGUACCUGACGUAAGCCCCGGCUAACUCCGUGCCAGCAGCCGCGGUAAUACGGGGGGGGCAAGCGUUGUUCGGAAUUAUUGGGCGUAAAGGGCGCGUAGGCGGCCCAGCCAAGUCGAGUGUGAAAUCCCAGGGCUUAACCCUGGAGGGUCGCUCGAUACUGGCAGGCUAGAGUGUGGAAGAGGGUGCUGGAAUUCCCGGUGUAGCGGUGAAAUGCGUAGAUAUCGGGAGGAACACCAGUGGCGAAGGCGGGCACCUGGGCCAACACUGACGCUGAGGCGCGAAAGCUAGGGGAGCAAACAGGAUUAGAUACCCUGGUAGUCCUAGCCUUAAACGAUGAUGACUUGGUGUGUCGGGUUUUUAGUCCCGAUGUGCCGGAGCUAACGCGUUAAGUCAUCCGCCUGGGGAGUACGGUCGCAAGACUGAAACUCAAAGGGAUUGACGGGGACCCGCACAAGCGGUGGAGCAUGUGGUUUAAUUCGACGCAACGCGAAGAACCUUACCUGGGCUAGAAUGCGAGGGACGGAGUUGCAAAACAGCUCCUUCUGGGGGAAACUCCAGACCCGAAGCAAGGUGCUGCAUGGCUGUCGUCAGCUCGUG